UAAUUUUAUGAAAUUUCACAUCUUUUAGGCUGGGCUGAGAGAGAGAGAAACUUUAAAGUUCAUACCUAUAAAACAUAUACUGAUUCACUACUGCUGGCAAUUGUGUAUGAAUAUCUAAUACAUUCUUAUUGGUUAAUAAACAUGUAUUGAAUACUAUCUAUGAGACCUUGUGUUAUGAAAAUAAAUUUUAAAAAUCUCUUAAUUCUUCUCUCAACUAUGGGAGGCAUUUUAAUGAUAGAAAAAUUUUAAUACCUUUUUGUAAGGAUGCACAAACUAAGGAUUACAAGAGCUCAGAGGAGGGGAACCUAUCUAGUCCAGAGUUCAGAGGAGUCUUCCUAAUAGAAGUAAUAUUGGCCUAAUCUUGAUGUAUACGUGAAAGGCAUUAGAGAAUAGAAGCAGUGAAACAUGCGGAAGAGGUCACCGUAUAUGUAAAGGCAUAGAGGUAAGGGAGAAUAUCACCCACUCAGAGUAUUAAAAGUAUAUAAUCGAGAAUCUAGGGUGUGUAGUAAAUUAUUUGCAAAAAUGCCCCAAGGGAGCAGAAUGGGAUGGCAAGAGAUUUCAUCAUGCUACUCAAAAAGCACACACACUUUAAAACUGACGAAUCUUUACUUCUGGAAUUUUGCAUUUACUAUUUUCAGACUGAGGUUGACUGUGAGGUAACUGAAACCACGGAAAGCAAAACUGCCAACAAGAAUGAAUAGGGAGGACCACAAGACAUUUGUCACAUUCCACCAUAGCCUACUUCCAUAUUUGAGAGGAAUAGUUGCAUCUGAGGUCAUCCGUUCUUUCAGGAUUUGGCAAACUCACUUUUAAAAUGACCUGGAAAUACAGUUUAUUAUGUCCUGUUGGUGAGUGUGCUUAUUCAGAUGGAGCCUAGACAGUUUGUGAACACUGAUUCUGCUCUUAUGGAGCUUCUUGGUACUGGCACUGAAUGGUGUGCCUUAAAGUGAAGCCUGAAUGUCUCAGAUUGAUUUCAAACAAAUGCAGCAACAAAUCAAGGUGUUCUUCCUUGGGAAGUGAUGGGUGUUUUGCCUACUGUCAAUCUCUGGAAUCAUUCUGGCUACUAUGUGGACAAAAACUGUAGCAGGUAAAGAACAGGAGCCAAGAAGCCAGUAUGGAGCCAAAGAGCAGGCCAAGUGAGGGAUGAUGACUCACUCACUGGCUAGCUGAGUGGUUCUUGGCCUUGAGGAUUUAUUGGCACCCAUUUCAUUUGUCUUUCUCUGGAUUUAACAUUGAGGUGAUGAGAUGGAAUAUUACCUGUAUGCUUCGGAACAUCUAUGAGUGACAUGUAAUAGUUGCCUGGGAAACUAGAGAUGAAAUUCUACAGGUCUUUGAAAUGCUUUACAUUUGAGAAUGAAGCUCAGCUGAAGUUUGAACAGCAUACUGACAUAUACCAACAAGAAUGAAAAUAACUUAACAGCAAUUUUAUAAAUUCACAUCCCCCAGAGCACCACAGAGUAAAGAAAUACUGCAUAUGGGUAACAACUGGUUCUUAGUUACUAAAUCUGAAAGAUCAAAUACAGUUAAUUACAUAAGCUUCUCUUGAGUUUUUCUGGGGGAAUAUACCAGGAGACCAUAAUCAAGGUACCAGUUUAUUGAUGGCUGUCCUUAACAAAUACAACUCUUCAAGAAAAUAAAGUAAUUUAAUGCAUAAUAAUGUUGAAUGCCGCUUUCAGCAUCACCAGUGGCAUUUCAUACUGGUCCCAUGGUGUUAAUCCAGGUUUCUGGUAUUGCACUAAACACGAUGAAAAACAGGAGAGAACGGAGAGGGAUCAUGUUUUACCACAAUAUGCAAUUUAUGGGAGAGAUGAAGCGCUCAGGUGGAGAUGACUAGUGUCACGUGGUGUUUUAAGUGGAUACUCACAACGCUGGAACUCACAGCAAUAACAACAAGAGAUCCUCUAUAGACUGUUGAUGUAUAGCCAUGAGAAAAAAAAAAGAAAAAUUUUUGCUCUCAAUGAGCUUGCAUUUAAGCAUCUAUAAAAGACCCAGAGUGCAGGAGGGAUAACUGAUAUCAAAAUUCCAAGGAAAGGAUGAAAAAAGUAGGAAGAAAACCCCAAGAGUCAGGUGAGAUUAAUAUUUACUCAGUGAACUUUGAGUAAAGCAUUGGGUGCUUCAUUAUGUGGAGGAGUCUCAUCCAAUCAGUUGAAGGUGACUGAAUGGAACUAUAGAUCGACCUCACAUAAAUGAGAGGGAAUUCUGCAACAGAUCAUCUUUGCCUUUGAACUGCAGCAUGGACUCCCCUCUGGGUCUCCUGCCUGCCAGCCCACCCUGCAGAGUGCAUUUGCCAGCCUCCACAAUCAGGUAAUUUAUCCUGUGCAUUAACAAGAGGAAGUCUAGAGCCAUGGAAACCAAGUCAGGAAACUUCUCUCUUAUUAUUAGGUCCACUGCAAAUCUAGUUGAGACUGCAAAUCGAGUUUAGUCACCACCUCCGAGGAACUGUGUCCCGCAUUGGCAUUCCUUUGGCAGCUUCCACUUCUCUGUCCCCUUGAGCAAAGUUUUUCUCAGGGGAAGCCGAGCUCCAGACUAUUCAUUUGUCCUGAGGCAGCCACUUGAAACACAAUCAUUUUGUAUUUCUACGAUGUUUUGACCUUUUAUCCAAGUCAGCCCUAUAGAAUGGGCCAGGAGGUUGCUGCCACUGAAUAAGCCACUGUGAUUUUUAGCGUCAAGAAUUUUGCUGUUAACUAUGGCAGAAAAAUAGACAGAGGACAAUAAAAAUAACUAACAUAGACUAA
Homo sapiens (human) is the source of this 2735-nucleotide long non-coding RNA. RefSeq lists it as uncharacterized. Lineage: Eukaryota; Metazoa; Chordata; Mammalia; Primates; Hominidae. The transcript has 16 exons. The record is from RefSeq and is a predicted model, not a curated record.